UACGUAGGGUCCGAGCGUUGUCCGGAAUUACUGGGCGUAAAGAGCUCGUAGGUGGUUUGUCGCGUUGUUCGUGAAAACUCACAGCUUAACUGUGGGCGUGCGGGCGAUACGGGCAGACUUGAGUACUGCAGGGGAGACUGGAAUUCCUGGUGUAGCGGUGGAAUGCGCAGAUAUCAGGAGGAACACCGGUGGCGAAGGCGGGUCUCUGGGGCAGUAACUGACGCUGAGGAGCGAAAGCGUGGGGAGCGAACAGG
RNAcentral lists this ribosomal RNA (254 nucleotides) under uncultured bacterium. RNAcentral's name for it is "partial 16S ribosomal RNA". It matches the Rfam family "Bacterial small subunit ribosomal RNA", at positions 524 to 776 of the family's 1533-position model. The record is from RNAcentral.